UUACCGGCUAAAUGUAAUUAAAAAAAUCAAGUAAAAUCUUAACCGCUUAUUCCAUUAAAUUAUUAAUUAGUAUAUAUAACCGACUAACUAUAAAAAUGUCGAGAUAACUGGUGUAUAUUACCGGCUAACUAUAACAAAUAAAAGUCAAGUAAAAUCUUAACCGGCUAAACAACCAUUUUAAUCAUUUGUAUUGUAAUUUGUUAAUGAGUUAAUUUUAUGUUUAGCCGAACAUGUAAAUCUAAACAUAUAUUUUGUGAUUUAUUAGAGAGUUAAUUUUUUUGUUUAUCCGUGUUGAUACAAAGUAACAACUAUCUACUGAUCAAAAUAGCCGGUAAAUAUAAAUUAAAUACAAGCUAAAAUGUAAAGUAUCUGGAUAAGUUAGAAUAUAACAAUGCUAAUAUUAGGGGGACCAGUUUUGCAAAAAAAAAAAAAAAAUUGGAUCCUCAGUUGCCAUGAGCUUGCAUCGAUCGAACUGAGAAGACCCAAAUGCUCAGUUCAUCAUGUUCGAACUGCAAUACUCGAUCCAGCUCAAGAUGUACAAUUCAUCGCUUACUGAAGACCGUUCUACUUGAUUUAAUUAUCUCGGUGUAAGCCUCACCAUAAUCAAACAACGAGAAGAGAAGACGCGGACACGACAACGCUCUGAUGCGGUGGAGAUGUGGUCACAACAAAAUCUUAAGAACACUGAUGUCUGAAUAAAAUCUCCUGAACAUUUUUGUCUGGACCAAAUCUCCUACACACUGCUAUAUGAAUAAUUUUCCACUUAUAGAACAAAGCAGUAACACAAACGAAUUACAAAACAAGAAAUCUGAUUAUCGAACGACAAUAAA
RNAcentral lists this long non-coding RNA (830 nucleotides) under Brassica rapa (field mustard). Its description in RNAcentral is "long non-coding RNA (BRAP_LNC001788)". The record is from RNAcentral. Lineage: Eukaryota; Viridiplantae; Streptophyta; Magnoliopsida; Brassicales; Brassicaceae.